ACGAACGCUGGCGGCGUGCUUAACACCUGCAGGUCGAACGGUGAAGCGCCUUCCUUUUUGGUGGGUGUGGAUGAGUGGCGAACGGGUGAGUAACACGUGAGUAACCUGCCCCCUUCUUCUGGAUAACCGCAUGAAAGUGUGGCUAAUACGGGAUAUUCUGGGUCUGUCGCAUGAUGGGUCUGGGAAAGAUAUUGUUUCGGUGGGGGAUGGGCUCGCGGCCUAUCAGCUUGUUGGUGGGGUGAUGGCCUACCAAGGCGGUGACGGGUAGCCGGCCUGAGAGGGUGGACGGUCACACUGGGAGUGAGACACGGCCCAGACUCCUACGGGAGGCAGCAGUGGGGAAUAUUGCACAAUGGGCGCAAGCCUGAUGCAGCGACGCCGCGUGAGGGAUGGAGGCCUUCGGGUUGUGAACCUCUUUCGCCAGUGAAGCAGGCCUGCCUCGUUUGUGGGUGGGUUGACGGUAGCUGGAUAAGAAGCGCCGGCUAACUACGUG
This 493-nucleotide ribosomal RNA is filed under the name uncultured bacterium. RNAcentral's name for it is "partial 16S ribosomal RNA". It matches the Rfam family "Bacterial small subunit ribosomal RNA", at positions 29 to 507 of the family's 1533-position model. The record is from RNAcentral.